Long non-coding RNA from Hirundo rustica (Barn swallow), 1267 nucleotides. RefSeq lists it as uncharacterized. NCBI's taxonomy places the organism in Eukaryota, Metazoa, Chordata, Aves, Passeriformes, Hirundinidae. The transcript has 3 exons. The record is from RefSeq and is a predicted model, not a curated record.
AGAGCCUCAGACUCUGACCAUGGUUUGGGAAAACACAAGGUCAGAGUAAUGCUUCAUGGAAUCGGAGCGGUAGCUGGAGUGUGUAUAGAGGUGCUCAGGAAUCAGAGGAACCCCUAAGACUGCCAGGCUUGGGAAGGCUUUGAAUGAGAACACACAAACCUCAAACCCGAUUCAGAAUUCAGCAAGAGCUGGUCUGUAGAAUAAGAGCAUGUCUGGCAUAGUCAUGGUAAUGCCUGUCUGGGAAGAGCAUGGUUGUGUUCUGAAGAUGCCUGAGCAUUGAUGGUUUCACACACCUGUCCAAGGCUAACCAGGAGGAGAAAAGGAAAAGGUUAAAAAAUUCAACAUGAGACAGUAUAUGGCAAAUGGAAAUAUUCUUCUGCUAAGAUGAAUGAAGGAAAAAGGACUGUCUAUUGCAAGUUGCUCAUGGUGAUUUUGUCUGUCUAACAUCCUGAUCACUUACUGGCUCGAGAACAGCCUCAGAAAGUUGGGGUUUUUUUAAUCUCUUAUGAGAUUAUGAUGGUCUGGGACUUCCUUUUCUAGUAAAAUACUGGUUUUAUCUCCUUGCACACUUGCAAAACUUCACCCCUGGGACUGAAAUUUCCCAUAUCAAUGAUAAAUAUUUUGGCAAAGUUUCACUCUUGAAACAUUGAGUGAGACAAGAAAAGAUAUGUUUUGCCCUCGUGCCUUGCUAAAAAGAUGAGCAGCUCUUCUGUGAAAAGUCCUUGGAACUCUAAAAGGACUGCUAAGGAAAUUGCUAGAUGUUCAAGAGAGAUUUGCUUGUUUCUCUGAUAACACAUGGAUAUUUGAGAGAUUGUAAGCCAUUGAAGAGUCUCAAUCCAAGGAAAAGCAGUUAUGAUAAUGUUUCUUAGCUGGCCUUGCAGGCUUGUCCUACCAGAGCAUGUAUUCCCCAUUGCCAAAAGCCAGGAGUAUAAGGCUCCUCUCAGCUUCUUGGGACAAAGAAAAAGGAGUAAGGUUCUUCUGUGAACAGAAGAAACUGUCUUCUUCAUCCUGUUUUCUGGGAAAAUGGAUGAAGGCGCCAAUUCAAAUGCCUAAGUAACACUUAAAGGUGCUAGAAUAUAUUUUAAAAAACCAAACAAAACCCACACAAAUCUACAGAAUUCUUGGGUUUUUACAUGGAGACAAGGAGAGAGAGAGGCUGAGAGACACACAACCUGGAUGAAGUUCAGAAAAGCAUGAAACGUCCUUGAUUCCAGAUGACUAAUGCAGCAUUGAGCUUUAUGAGAAAAGGCAUUCUAAUAGGUCUUAA